Molecule: ribosomal RNA, 495 nt
Filed under: uncultured bacterium
Lineage: Bacteria
Description: partial 16S ribosomal RNA
Rfam family: Bacterial small subunit ribosomal RNA
Source: RNAcentral
GACGAACGCUGGCGGCGUGCCUAAUACAUGCAAGUCGAACGCUGAGGGCGGAUCUUCCUUCUCUGGAUGAGUUGCGCACGUGUGAGUAACGUGUGUGUAACCUGCCUGGUAUCGCGGGAAAACUGUUGGAAACGAUAGCUAAUACCGCAAAUUAGUGGAUGUCCCAUGACAUUUUCUUUAAAGGUGCAAUUGCAUCACUACCAGAUGGACCUGCGUUGUAUUCGCUAGAUGUUGUGGUAACGGGUCACCCAGGCAACGAGACAUACCCGACCGCAGACGGGGAACGGCCGACCUGGGACUGUGACACGGCCCAGACUCCUGCGGGAGGCAGGAGGAGGGAAUGUGCGGCAAGGGACGGAAGGCGGAACGAGGAACGCCGCGUGAGUGAAGAAGGGUUUCGGAUCGUAAGGCGCUGUUGUAAGAGGAGAACGAGGGAGAGAGUGGAAAGUUCACGCUGUGACGGUAUCUGACCAGAAAGGGACGGCUAACUACGUG